Molecule: ribosomal RNA, 474 nt
Filed under: uncultured bacterium
Lineage: Bacteria
Description: SSU rRNA
Rfam family: Bacterial small subunit ribosomal RNA
Source: RNAcentral
AGGACGAACGCUGGCGGCGCGCUUAACACAUGCAAGUCGAACGUGAAGCUGGAGCUUGCUCCGGUGGAAAGUGGCGAACGGGUGCGUAACACGUGAGCAACCUGCCCCGAAGACUGGGAUAAACACCGGGAAACCGGUGCUAAUACCGGAUACCUUCUUCCGAUCGCAUGGUUGGAUGAAGAAAUGGAUUCCGCUUCGGGAUGGGCUCGCGGCCUAUCAGCUUGUUGGUGAGGUAACGGCCCACCAAGGCGACGACGGGUAGCUGGUCUGAGAGGACGACCAGCCACACUGGGACUGAGACACGGCCCAGACUCCUACGGGAGGCAGCAGUGGGGAAUCUUGCUCAAUGGGCGAAAGCCUGAAGCAGCGACGCCGCGUGCGGGAUGAAGGCCCUCGGGUUGUAAACCGCUUUCAGCGAGGGACGAAAUUGACGGUACCUGCAGAAGAGGCCGCCAACUACGUGCCAGCAGCCGC